Molecule: ribosomal RNA, 465 nt
Filed under: uncultured bacterium
Lineage: Bacteria
Description: partial 16S ribosomal RNA
Rfam family: Bacterial small subunit ribosomal RNA
Source: RNAcentral
CUACGGGUUGCUGCAGUGGGGAAUAUUGGACAAUGGGGGAAACCCUGAUCCAGCAAUGCCGCGUGUGUGAAGAAGGCCUGCGGGUUGUAAAGCACUUUCGGUUGGGAGGACUGCUUCUAGCACUAAUAUUGUUGGAAGUUGACGUUACCUUCAGAAGAAGCACCGGCUAACUCCGUGCCAGCAGCCGCGGUAAUACGGAGGGUGCAAGCGUGAAUCGGAAUUACUGGGCGUAAAGCGCGCGUAGGCGGCUAGAUCAGUCGGGUGUGAAAGCCCCGGGCUUAACCUGGGAACUGCAUCCGAUACUGUCUAGCUUGAGUACAGGAGAGGAGAGUGGAAUUCCACAUGUAGCGGUGAAAUGCGUAGAUAUGUGGAGGAACACCAAUGGCGAAGGCAGCUCUCUGGCCUGAUAUUGACGCUGAGGUGCGAAAGCGUGGGGAGCAAACAGGAUUAGAUACCCUCGUAGUC